UGAGUGCUUUGAAGAGUCUUAAGACCAUGCAGAAAGCAGAGUAGGGGCCCCCUCUCUGGCAGGGUUAGCUUGUAACACAGUUUGAAAUAUUUUUCAGGGAUGGUCACAGCCUUCCCUGUUAGUGUCCACAUUUCUUGGGAAGCAGUGGCCCAGACACAGGGCUCCUGCAAGCCUGGGCAUAAAACCUCACUUACGGAGGAAGCCUCGUUGGACCAGUGUGGGCCUGAGCUCUUCAUCACAGCUAGGGUCCUUCUCUAGCUUGUAGCAACAGAAACUGGCCCAGGGCUUUGCUUUUCUUCUGACCAGGUGGAACCUGAAUACGACACCCAUUUUUGAUUUUGCAAAAGGCAAGUCUUCCAGCUUCUGGGACAGACGCGUCUGACACCAGGGGAAAACUACAGUUGCGUGGUCCCUUACUCCAUCUGCCGGCUCUGCAUCCUUACCCUGUGCCCACCUCCUGGCUCUGGCUGGCUGUUGGCACCCCGCACCCGCGGGUUCCCUAUUGCAGCACCGGGAAGGCCUUUCGGGGUCAUUUUGAGGUAUUAUCAUGACACGUCCAGUUAGACUUGAGGGAAAAAAGUGCUUUUCCAAAAAGAGAUAAAAUGCGAGUUCUUAGUCCACGGCUGCGAGGACACGGAGAGCUUGGCAAAUAGAACCGGCAAAGCUUCUUUCUCUCUCGCUCGGUUGGAGCAGGACAACUGGAGCCGGUCAGCUGCUGACCAGAUGCUGCCUUCAAUUAAUAUGCCAACCCUCAAAGACGUUUAUCGCUCACUCUCAAAAGCAGAGCAGCUGAGUAAUAAAGGCAACUACUAAAACCAUUUUUUUUUUAGAGCAUUUGUAAUGGCUAAAUUGCUUGAAAUAAAUUAGCAAAAAAAAUAAACAUAGUUUGUACAGUAUCUGUAAAACAAAUUCCUAGUCUUGGGAAAAUAGACAAAGUGAGAGCUUGUAUUUAACAAGCAUAUGCAAUAUGCUUCAUUAAGACAGGGCUUUUUUUUUUUCUUCUAAAUUUAAAAAGGGUUAAUAAACUCCAAGAUAUCAUUGCCAGUUAAACAGGUCCUGCACCAUUUUAAGGGAAGUAAGAGGUUACAAAGGAGACAGUUAAAAAGAAACCAAGAGACUGUGUUGUAGUGCUAACAGGCAAUUAACAAACUCAUGGGUGU
Bos taurus (domestic cattle) is the source of this 1160-nucleotide long non-coding RNA. NCBI's taxonomy places the organism in Eukaryota, Metazoa, Chordata, Mammalia, Artiodactyla, Bovidae. The record is from Ensembl.